GCCGCCAGCUAGCUCUCUGCAACUCUCACAUGGUCGCCCACUGAAGCUAAGCAGGGCUGCGCCCGGUCAGUACCUGAAUGGGAGACCACAUGGGAAAGCUAGGUUGCUGCUGGAU
This 115-nucleotide ribosomal RNA is filed under the name Danio rerio (zebrafish). The record is from RNAcentral. Lineage: Eukaryota; Metazoa; Chordata; Actinopteri; Cypriniformes; Danionidae.